Molecule: long non-coding RNA, 442 nt
Organism: Hordeum vulgare subsp. vulgare (domesticated barley)
Lineage: Eukaryota; Viridiplantae; Streptophyta; Magnoliopsida; Poales; Poaceae
Exons: 5
Source: RefSeq, a predicted model, not a curated record
CCUCACCACCAAGACAUGACCCAUAUGGCCCAAAUUGCUGCAGCAAGCCGAGCCACCAACCGCCAGAUUGGCACCGCACGACGGCCACGGACCAGAGUUGUCGCCGCCUGAUCGGCGAUUGAUCGCAGGUGUGGGGUUAGCAUGACUACAGAAAUCCGAGGCAGUAAUUAAACCAGUUCAAAGCCACAACACGUUUUCAACUAUUGAAGUGUCAAACUGAAUUCAGGCAGCAAGGGCUCGAUUUUGUUCUCAUACUGCUCAGCAGGCUGCUUUAUAGAAGUACAAGACUAAUUAAAGACGAAGGCAUCAUCGCUUAUUUUCAAAGCAUCAAGGAUCGCAAAGUUAUCCUCUACUUUGUCAUUAACAGUGUCAGUGGCUCCAAAAUCAGUUGCAGAAAUAUAAGGGUGUGAAGCACACCUCCGCUGUGAAUCUAAAUGAGAAU